This 793-nucleotide ribosomal RNA is filed under the name uncultured Methanosaeta sp. RNAcentral describes it as "bacterial SSU rRNA". It matches the Rfam family "Archaeal small subunit ribosomal RNA", at positions 85 to 879 of the family's 1478-position model. Lineage: Archaea; Methanobacteriati; Methanobacteriota; Methanomicrobia; Methanotrichales; Methanotrichaceae. The record is from RNAcentral.
ACGGCUCAGUAACACGUGGACAACCUACCCUUAGGACGGGGAUAAACCCGGGAAACUGGGUAUAAUACCCGAUAGAUCUCGGCCGCUGGAAUGCAUCGAGAUCUAAAGCUCCGGCGCCUAAGGAUGGGUCUGCGGCCUAUCAGGUAGUAGUGGGUGUAGUGUACCUACUAGCCUACGACGGGUACGGGUUGUGAGAGCAAGAGCCCGGAGAUGGAUUCUGAGACACGAAUCCAGGCCCUACGGGGUGCAGCAGGCGCGAAAACUUUACAAUGCUGGCAACAGCGAUAAGGGGACCUCGAGUGCCAGGUUACAAAUCUGGCUGUCGUGAUGCCUAAAAAGCAUUGCAUAGCAAGGGCCGGGCAAGACCGGUGCCAGCCGCCGCGGUAACACCGGCGGCUCGAGUGGUAACCGUUAUUAUUGGGUCUAAAGGGUCUGUAGCCGGCCGGAUAAGUCUCUUGGGAAAUCUGGCAGCUCAACUGUCAGGCUUUCAGGAGAUACUGUCUGGCUCGAGGCCGGGAGAGGUGAGAGGUACUUCAGGGGUAGGGGUGAAAUCUUGUAAUCCUUGAAGGACCACCAGUGGCGAAGGCGUCUCACCAGAACGGACCUGACGGCAAGGGACGAAAGCUAGGGGCACGAACCGGAUUAGAUACCCGGGUAGUCCUAGCCGUAAACGAUACUCGCUAGGUGUCGGCCACGGUGCGACCGUUGUCGGUGCCGUAGGGAAGCCGUGAAGCGAGUCACCUGGGAAGUACGGCCGCAAGGCUGAAACUUAAAGGAAUUGGCGGGGGAGCAC